RNAcentral lists this ribosomal RNA (499 nucleotides) under uncultured bacterium. RNAcentral describes it as "partial 16S ribosomal RNA". It matches the Rfam family "Bacterial small subunit ribosomal RNA", at positions 30 to 523 of the family's 1533-position model. The record is from RNAcentral.
AUUGAACGCUGGCGGCAUGCCUUACACAUGCAAGUCGAACGGCAGCACGGGAGCAAUCCUGGUGGCGAGUGGCGAACGGGUGAGUAAUAUAUCGGAACGUGCCCAGUCGUGGGGGAUAACGCAGCGAAAGCUGUGCUAAUACCGCAUACGAUCUAUGGAUGAAAGCGGGGGACCGCAAGGCCUCGCGCGAUUGGAGCGGCCGAUAUCAGAUUAGCUAGUUGGUGGGGUAAAGGCCCACCAAGGCGACGAUCUGUAGCUGGGCUGGGAGGACGACCAGCCACACUGGAACUGAGACACGGUCAGAAUCCUACGGGAGGCAGCCGUGGGGAAUUUUGGACAAUGGGCGCAAGCCUGAUCCAGCAAUGCCGCGUGCAGGAUGAAGGCCUUCGGGUUGUAAACUGCUUUUGUACGGAACGAAACGGUGAGCUUUAAUACAGUUUGCUAAUGACGGUACCGUAAGAAUAAGCACCGGCUAACUACGUGCCAGCCGCCGCGGUAA